CGGAAUUUCUUCUCAAGUGGUCUCUGAUCCAGAGAGACACACCCAGCGGCAGCCGUUGACUCCCUCCACCCUUGCUUCCCUCUCAACCAUCUCACCUCCAUCUGUCCAGUGGAGCCAGAUGUCCCACCUUCUUGGGAGAAAUUAAUUGAGGCUCAUUUCCAGGACAGAGGGGCAAGCUGGGUCUGAGGAGCCAAGCAGAAAAACUUCCCAAAAUCACUGGGUGGGGAGGGGUCAGAGACUUACUGCUGCCCCAGCUGUUCUGACUCUGCCCCCAGCUUUUGGCCCCACCCUUUUAAAGCACCUUCAGAGGUUCCCAAUGGUGACAGUAAACAAGUCUCCACUGUCCUGGCCAUCUCUGCUGUGUUCACCCUACUCCUGAUCUUUCUGGCUGCUCAGGGACUGACAGCCAAGAUGUGAGGCUGUGAUGAGCAGGAACAGGGAGGCCUGGAGCCCCCAGCCAUUGUCAUCACUUCCCUGAUCUGCCUAAAUUCUGCCCAGCAGUCCGUGAAAAUGGUUUGCUGAUGACAUAUGUAAGGACUUUAACUCCCCUCAAGCAAUCUGCUCAUCUCAAAGGAUUUGCAAUGAUCAAGAGGCGUCCUGUGAAUGCAGUUUGCAAAGGACUUAGGCACACAGCAUCUCCUUUGUUCUCACCACAAGGCUGCCGGGUGUGCAGAUGUGAGGAUUAUUUCAAUGGUGAAGAAGCAUCCUGAGAGGUUACGUAGUUCAACUAAUGUCACACCAAGAGCAGGAGAGCAUCUGGGCAUUUGGACAUGGAAGGUGUGGGGCACAAGCAUCUCAUGGCCAGGGAACGGGGGAGGAGCAUCUCAGAGCUGCAUCAGAGUUCAUGCUGGUCCUAGGACAAGAGUCAAGCACACCCUGCUUUCACCAGCUGCUGGUAGCUUUCACUCAGGCCACCUCUCUUUGCCAGUCUUGACAAAUAAUUUCUUAGUGAAGCACCUAUUUCAGGCUGAGCCACAAGAUGUCAGCCUAAGCUUAGUCAUUUUGAAUUUUCCUGGCCCUUGAAACAACUACAUUUUUUCACUUUUAUGACCAAGAAAAAGUCUGAGAAGCUCACGACCCCUCAGGAUUAGGUACAGAGACCACAGCAGCUGCUUGCCCUGGGAGCUCUUCAUGCCUGUUCUCAGCCAUCUUCAGUGAAGAUUUCACAGGAUAACCCAAACUGGCUCCUUUCUGUGACACCACCCAGGGAACUGCAUUCCAAGUGUGGGUGUACACGGAUCUCCACCAUUGGUCCUUGCUCUCUCUCCUGUCCCAUCCUUUCUCCCCUUCCUCAGUUAUGCUCUGGGGCAGGUUCCCACUUUGGCCACUUAAUUCUCUGAACCUCUACUACAUGAAGAGACUAGAACUUGAUUAGAAAAAAAUGGAAUGACUCUUAAUGAGCAAGUGGAUGAAUAAAUUGUGGUAAAUCCCUA
Molecule: long non-coding RNA, 1433 nt
Filed under: Homo sapiens (human)
Lineage: Eukaryota; Metazoa; Chordata; Mammalia; Primates; Hominidae
Description: HSALNT0399695
Source: RNAcentral